RNAcentral lists this ribosomal RNA (300 nucleotides) under uncultured Methanopyrus sp. Its description in RNAcentral is "bacterial SSU rRNA". It matches the Rfam family "Bacterial small subunit ribosomal RNA", at positions 496 to 795 of the family's 1533-position model. The record is from RNAcentral. Lineage: Archaea; Methanobacteriati; Methanobacteriota; Methanopyri; Methanopyrales; Methanopyraceae.
GUCAACUGCGAGCAAGAAUAAGCGUUAAGACGAAGUGUGGUGGCGGUAAUGGUGAUUGUUUGGGGGACAAAGUGCGGAGGUGGUGCUGUAGGUCGUGGGUGAAAUGCACGGUAUCUAGCUGGGAAUGUAAGUUGAUAUUGGGGAGUGAAAGUGGGAUAGAUGAUGUUGGAAUUCGCGGUGUAUCGGGGAAAUUCGUAGAAAUAAUGAGGACCAUUAGUGGCAAAAGCGGCCAUCUCGAUCAAGACUGACGCUGAGGCACGAAAGCGUGGGGAGCAAACAGGAUUAGAUACCCGAGUAGUC